Anopheles funestus (African malaria mosquito) is the source of this 208-nucleotide long non-coding RNA. RefSeq lists it as uncharacterized. Lineage: Eukaryota; Metazoa; Arthropoda; Insecta; Diptera; Culicidae. The transcript is spliced from 2 exons. The record is from RefSeq and is a predicted model, not a curated record.
UCAGUAAUAGUUUUUUUAAACCACUCAAUAGUUCAAGUGACUUAAUCAUCAUUUCAUCAUUUCCUGUUUAAAUCUUAUCCUGGCCCUAAGCGAAGGUCUGUGCUUUGUCUUGAAGUGUUACAAUGAAAUUACUUGUUCCAGUUCAUGUCCUCAUUCUUCAUUUAAUGCUUGAAGGAAUUUCUCGCAAGAUUUCCAUGAAGCUCAAUCU